RNAcentral lists this ribosomal RNA (1343 nucleotides) under uncultured bacterium. Its description in RNAcentral is "16S ribosomal RNA". It matches the Rfam family "Bacterial small subunit ribosomal RNA", at positions 28 to 1378 of the family's 1533-position model. The record is from RNAcentral.
GACGAACGCUGGCGGCGUGCUUAACACAUGCAAGUCGAACGGAAAGGCCCUGCUUUUGUGGGGUGCUCGAGUGGCGAACGGGUGAGUAACACGUGAGUAACCUGCCCUUGACUUUGGGAUAACUUCAGGAAACUGGGGCUAAUACCGGAUAGGAGCUCCUGCUGCAUGGUGGGGGUUGGAAAGUUUCGGCGGUUGGGGAUGGACUCGCGGCUUAUCAGCUUGUUGGUGGGGUAGUGGCUUACCAAGGCUUUGACGGGUAGCCGGCCUGAGAGGGUGACCGGCCACAUUGGGACUGAGAUACGGCCCAGACUCCUACGGGAGGCAGCAGUGGGGAAUAUUGCACAAUGGGCGGAAGCCUGAUGCAGCAACGCCGCGUGCGGGAUGACGGCCUUCGGGUUGUAAACCGCUUUCGCCUGUGACGAAGCGUGAGUGACGGUACUGGGUAAAGAAGCACCGGCUAACUACGUGCCAGCAGCCGCGGUGAUACGUAGGGUGCGAGCGUUGUCCGGAUUUAUUGGGCGUAAAGGGCUCGUAGGUGGUUGAUCGCGUCGGAAGUGUAAUCUUGGGGCUUAACCCUGAGCGUGCUUUCGAUACGGGUUGACUUGAGGAAGGUAGGGGAGAAUGGAAUUCCUGGUGGAGCGGUGGAAUGCGCAGAUAUCAGGAGGAACACCAGUGGCGAAGGCGGUUCUCUGGGCCUUUCCUGACGCUGAGGAGCGAAAGCGUGGGGAGCGAACAGGCUUAGAUACCCUGGUAGUCCACGCUGUAAACGGUGGGUACUAGGUGUGGGGUCCAUUCCACGGGUUCCGUGCCGUAGCUAACGCUUUAAGUACCCCGCCUGGGGAGUACGGCCGCAAGGCUAAAACUCAAAGGAAUUGACGGGGCCCCGCACAAGCGGCGGAGCAUGCGGAUUAAUUCGAUGCAACGCGUAGAACCUUACCUGGGUUUGACAUGGAUCGGGAGUGCUCAGAGAUGGGUGUGCCUCUUUUGGGGUCGGUUCACAGGUGGUGCAUGGCUGUCGUCAGCUCGUGUCGUGAGAUGUUGGGUUAAGUCCCGCAACGAGCGCAACCCUUGUUCACUGUUGCCAGCACGUUAUGGUGGGGACUCAGUGGAGACCGCCGGGGUCAACUCGGGGGAAGGUGGGGAUGACGUCAAGUCAUCAUGCCCCUUAUGUCCAGGGCUUCACGCAUGCUACAAUGGCUGGUACAGAGAGUGGCGAGCCUGUGAGGGUGAGCGAAUCUCGGAAAGCCGGUCUCAGUUCGGAUUGGGGUCUGCAACUCGACCUCAUGAAGUCGGAGUCGCUAGUAAUCGCAGAUCAGCAACGCUGCGGUGAAUACGUUCCCGGG